UGAGAAGUAACGCUCUGAGCUUUGGACAUCAAGAGACAUUGAGUGUCACUUUGCUGGUACCCGUAACAUUUUACUAGAGAGAAAAACUCUAGUGAAGACUACUUAGAAUACACAGGAUGCAGCAGCCUCCUGGGAAUGCAGCACCACCUUAAAGAGGAGGGGCAGCUGUUCCAGGGGCACAUUCACCAUCUUUCCUGGAUAAAAGGGAAAAAAGGCGUUAGCAGCGGCUACCAGCUAGGGAAGGAAAGCCAGUUUUUCUCUUCUCAGGCUGCUUAAUCUUGGUGCAGGACAAAGGGCUGGCAGCAGAAAACAAAGUCUGAUUAUAUAUGUUUUCCUUCAAAAAUUGCAUUACUUGGGUGAUGGAGAGAUGGAUCAGCAGUUAAGAGCACCGGCUGCUCUUCCAGAGACCCUGAGUUCAAUUCCCAGCAACCACAUGGUGGUUCAUAGUCAUCCAUAAUGAGAUCUGGUGCCCUCUUCUGGCAGAACGUUGUAUACAUAAUAAAGAAAUAAAUCUUUAAACUUGGCAGUGGUGGUGUGCGCCUUUAAUGUCAGCGCUUUGGAGGCAGAAACAGGCAGAUCUCAGUGAGUUCAAGGUCAGCCUGGUCUACAAACUGAGUUCCAGGACAGUCAGGACUACACAGAGAAACCCCGUGUGUGUGUGUGUGUGUGUGUGUGUGUGUGUGUGUGUUUGUGAGUAAAACCUUAAAAAAAAUUUUUAAAAAAAUUGUAUUACUGAAUUUUACAGAAACAAUCCCAGUCUAAACAUCAUUCCACUGAGUGCUAGACAUAGAAAAGAAGAAUCCUCAUAUAUGAAGUAAAGCAACAACAAAGAGCCAAGGUUAUGCACUGGAACAGACCUAUUAAUUGUCAAGAGCUUAGCAGAAGGCUGAAGCCACAUACAAAUUUCCUUUGUAAACACAGCUCUAUAGUGCCAAUUUAUAUGGUACAAUUCUACAAGACAGUUUCUGUUGUUGUUUUGUUCAAGACAGGGUUUCUUUGUGUAACAGCCCUAGCUGUUCUGGAACUAGCUCUGUAUACCAGGCUGGCCUCAAACUCACAGAGAUCUCCUGCCUCUGCAGGAGUUCUGGGAUUAAAGGUGUGUGCUACCACCAUCUGGCAAAACAAGUUUUUUAAAUUGAUAUAUAACUUGCAUAUAAAAUUCAUUAUCUAAAAGUAUACAGUUCAGGACAUGAAGUGGAGAUACUGAGCUUGCUUUCCUCAUCCACAGAACAGCUGUACACCAUAGGUGCUUGGGAAAUGGAAGCUUCUCUUUUCUAAGAGGAAACACUAACUUUCUAU
Alexandromys fortis (reed vole) is the source of this 1299-nucleotide long non-coding RNA. RefSeq lists it as uncharacterized. The transcript is spliced from 3 exons. The record is from RefSeq and is a predicted model, not a curated record. NCBI's taxonomy places the organism in Eukaryota, Metazoa, Chordata, Mammalia, Rodentia, Cricetidae.